Molecule: ribosomal RNA, 465 nt
Filed under: Vreelandella stevensii
Lineage: Bacteria; Pseudomonadati; Pseudomonadota; Gammaproteobacteria; Oceanospirillales; Halomonadaceae
Description: partial 16S ribosomal RNA
Rfam family: Bacterial small subunit ribosomal RNA
Source: RNAcentral
CCUACGAGAGGCUGCAGUGGGGAAUAUUGGACAAUGGGGGGAACCCUGAUCCAGCCAUGCCGCGUGUGUGAAGAAGGCCCUCGGGUUGUAAAGCACUUUCAGUGAGGAAGAACGCCUGGUGGUUAAUACCCAUCAGGAAAGACAUCACUCACAGAAGAAGCACCGGCUAACUCCGUGCCAGCAGCCGCGGUAAUACGGAGGGUGCGAGCGUUAAUCGGAAUUACUGGGCGUAAAGCGCGCGUAGGUGGCUUGAUAAGCCGGUUGUGAAAGCCCCGGGCUCAACCUGGGAACGGCAUCCGGAACUGUCAAGCUAGAGUGCAGGAGAGGAAGGUAGAAUUCCCGGUGUAGCGGUGAAAUGCGUAGAGAUCGGGAGGAAUACCAGUGGCGAAGGCGGCCUUCUGGACUGACACUGACACUGAGGUGCGAAAGCGUGGGUAGCAAACAGGAUUAGAUACCCUUGUAGUC